GAUGAAGAACGCAGCGAAAUGCGAUAAGUAAUGUGAAUUGCAGAAUCCCGUGAACCAUCGAGUCUUUGAACGCAAGUUGCGCCCGAAGCCAUUAGGCCGAGGGCACGCCUGCCUGGGCGUCACACGUCGUUGCCCCCCCAUCUACUCCUUCGGGAUUGCGGGGGGCGGAUGAUGGCCUCCCGUGCGCCUCGCCGCGCGGUUGGCAUAAAUGCCAAGUCCUCGGCGACGCACGCCACGACAAUCGGUGGUUGCGAAACCUCGGUUGCCCGUCGUGUGCGGUCGUCGCGCAUCGAGGGCUCGAAAAAAUUGCCGGGUUCCGGCUCGGCUUUCAACGCGACCCCAGGUCAGGCGGGGUUACCCGCUGAAUUUAAGCAUAUCAAUAAGCGGAGGA
RNAcentral lists this unclassified non-coding RNA (391 nucleotides) under soil metagenome. RNAcentral describes it as "partial contains 5.8S ribosomal RNA, internal transcribed spacer 2, and large subunit ribosomal RNA". The stretch from base 1 to 122 matches the Rfam family "5.8S ribosomal RNA", at positions 35 to 154 of the family's 154-position model. The record is from RNAcentral.